Molecule: transfer RNA, 75 nt
Filed under: Minisyncoccota bacterium
Lineage: Bacteria; Bacillati; Minisyncoccota
Description: tRNA-Arg
Rfam family: tRNA
About the family: Transfer RNA (tRNA) molecules are approximately 80 nucleotides in length.
Source: RNAcentral
GCACCCGUGGUGAAAUGGAUAUCAUUCCGGUCUUCGGAACCGUCGUUCCAGGUUCGAAUCCUGGCGGGUGCACCA